AGUGAAUAGAUACCCAGGUAGUCCACGCCCUAAACGAUGAACACUAGUCGUCGCUCUGCUAGUCAGGGCGGUGAUGCACUUAACAGGUUAAGUGUUCCGCCUGGGGAGUACGGUCGCAAGAUUAAAACUCAAAGGAAUAGACGGGGACCCGCACAAGUGGUGGAGCAUGUGGUUUAAUUCGAAGAUACGCGAAAAACCUUACCUGGCCUUGACAUUGAUAGAAUCUUUCAGAGAUGAGAGAGUGCCCUUCGGGGAGCUUGAAAACAGGUGCUGCACGGCUGUCGUCAGCUCGUGUCGUGAGAUGUUGGGUUAAGUCCCGCAACGAGCGCAACCCUCGUCCUUAGUUGCCAGCAGGUUAAGCUGGGCACUCUAGGGAGACUGCCUUCGCAAGGAGGAGGAAGGUGAGGACGACGUCAAGUCAUCAUGGCCCUUACGGCCAGGGCUACACACGUGCUACAAUGGGGCGUACAGAGAGUUGCGAUACCGCGAGGUGGAGCCAAUCUCUUAAAGCGUCUCUCAGUUCGGA
This 526-nucleotide ribosomal RNA is filed under the name uncultured bacterium. RNAcentral's name for it is "bacterial SSU rRNA". It matches the Rfam family "Bacterial small subunit ribosomal RNA", at positions 773 to 1297 of the family's 1533-position model. The record is from RNAcentral.